AGAAAGUUAGUCUAACUAAGACAGUUGAUUUCGACCCAACAGAUCAUAGCCUGUCCCUAUGACUUUCUU
RNAcentral lists this transfer RNA (69 nucleotides) under Strix aluco (Tawny owl). RNAcentral's name for it is "tRNA-Arg". Lineage: Eukaryota; Metazoa; Chordata; Aves; Strigiformes; Strigidae. The record is from RNAcentral.